UUCCAUUUGAGUGGGACGACACCAGUUACGCAAACACAGGCCAAUAUACAACAAUGAUCAAGGAACUGUCUGCUCUGAUUCUCCUAACCACAUUAUCUCUACAUCAGACUGCAGAGGUUCCUCAGCAGAUCCCUUUGAUUGUGGCUAACCUCGAUCACAAAAAUCAGCAGAAACACAUCUAUGUCAAACAAAGUCCGGAGACUGCGUCAGUCCAGCCGGGAAACCCGACGACUCUCCAGUGUUCACUUCUCUCCACGAACAAAGAAAACCUGGUCCAGUAUCCAGGUGAACACAGGGUGCACUGGUUCAGAGCCGGAUCAGGACGCUCCCAUCCCAGCUUCAUUUACACUCAGAGCAGCAGGAGAGAUGAACAAGAGGAGAAGAGCUGCGUCUACAGUCUGUCCAAAACUAUACACAACUCCUCAGAUGCUGGGACUUACUACUGCGCUGUGGUCAGUGGCGGCUGGCCAAUAGGGGGCGCUAGGGCGCCGCCCCACCUGAUUGAAAGUGAUUUUUAA
Non-coding RNA from Pleuronectes platessa (European plaice), 518 nucleotides. Lineage: Eukaryota; Metazoa; Chordata; Actinopteri; Pleuronectiformes; Pleuronectidae. The record is from the annotation of a RefSeq genome assembly.